AUUGAACGCUGGCGGCAGGCCUAACACAUGCAAGUCGAGCGGAUGAAGGGAGCUUGCUCCUGGAUUCAGCGGCGGACGGGUGAGUAAUGCCUAGGAAUCUGCCUGGUAGUGGGGGAUAACGUCCGGAAACGGGCGCUAAUACCGCAUACGUCCUGAGGGAGAAAGUGGGGGAUCUUCGGACCUCACGCUAUCAGAUGAGCCUAGGUCGGAUUAGCUAGUUGGUGGGGUAAAGGCCUACCAAGGCGACGAUCCGUAACUGGUCUGAGAGGAUGAUCAGUCAAACUGGAAAUGAAACACGGUCAAGACUCCUAAGGGAGGCAGCAGGGGGGAAUAUUGGACAAAGGGCGAAAGCCUGAACAAGCCAGGCGGCGUGUGUGAAGAAGGUCUUCGGAUUGUAAAGCACUUUAAGUUGGGAGGAAGGGAAGUAAGUUAAUACCUUGCUGUUUUGACGUUACCAACAGAAUAAGCACCGGCUAACUUCGUG
This 484-nucleotide ribosomal RNA is filed under the name uncultured bacterium. Its description in RNAcentral is "partial 16S ribosomal RNA". It matches the Rfam family "Bacterial small subunit ribosomal RNA", at positions 30 to 507 of the family's 1533-position model. The record is from RNAcentral.